This 1475-nucleotide ribosomal RNA is filed under the name Candidatus Pelagibacter sp. RNAcentral's name for it is "bacterial SSU rRNA". It matches the Rfam family "Bacterial small subunit ribosomal RNA". The record is from RNAcentral. Lineage: Bacteria; Pseudomonadati; Pseudomonadota; Alphaproteobacteria; Candidatus Pelagibacterales; Candidatus Pelagibacteraceae.
AAACUUGAGAGUUUGAUCAUGGCUCAGAACGUACGCUGGCGGCACGCCUAACACAUGCAAGUCGAACGAAGUAGCAAUACUUAGUGGCAGACGGGUGAGUAACAUGUGGGUAUCUGCCCUUUGGCCUGGAAUAACACGAGGAAACUUGUGCUAAUACCGGAUAAGUCUUUACAGAGAAAGCUUUAUGCACCAUUGGAUGAGCCCGCACUUGAUUAGUUUGUUGGUGGGGUAAUGGCCUACCAAGACUUUGAUCAAUAGCUGAUUUGAGAGGAUGAUCAGCCACAUUGGGACUGAGACACGGCCCAAACUCCUACGGGAGGCAGCAGUGGGGAAUCUUGCACAAUGGAGGAAACUCUGAUGCAGCGAUGCCGCGUGAGUGAAGAAGGCCUUUGGGUUGUAAAGCUCUUUCGUCGGGGAAGAAAAUGACUGUACCCGAAUAAGAAGGUCCGGCUAACUUCGUGCCAGCAGCCGCGGUAAUACGAAGGGACCUAGCGUAGUUCGGAAUUACUGGGCUUAAAGAGUUCGUAGGUGGUUGAAAAAGUUGGUGGUGAAAUCCCAGAGCUUAACUCUGGAACUGCCAUCAAAACUUUUCAGCUAGAGUUUGAUAGAGGAAAGCAGAAUUUCUAGUGUAGAGGUGAAAUUCGUAGAUAUUAGAAAGAAUACCAAUUGCGAAGGCAGCUUUCUGGAUCAUUACUGACACUGAGGAACGAAAGCAUGGGUAGCGAAGAGGAUUAGAUACCCUCGUAGUCCAUGCCGUAAACGAUGUGUGUUAGACGUUGGAAAUUUAUUUUCAGUGUCGCAGCGAAAGCGAUAAACACACCGCCUGGGGAGUACGACCGCAAGGUUAAAACUCAAAUGAAUUGACGGGGACCCGCACAAGUAGUGGAGCAUGUGGUUUAAUUCGAAGAUACGCGCAGAACCUUACCAACACUUGACAUGUUCGUCGCGACUUUAAGAGAUUAAAGUUUUCGGUUCGGCCGGACGAAACACAGGUGCUGCAUGGCUGUCGUCAGCUCGUGUCGUGAGAUGUUGGGUUAAGUCCCGCAACGAGCGCAACCCUCACUUUUAGUUGCCAUCAUUAAGUUGGGCACUCUGAAAGAACUGCCAGUGAUAAGCUGGAGGAAGGUGGGGAUGACGUCAAGUCCUCAUGGCCCUUACGUGUUGGGCUACACACGUGCUACAAUGGUAUCUACAACAGGAAGCGAAACAGCGAUGUUAAGCAAAUCCUUAAAAGAUACCUCAGUUCGGAUUGCACUCUGCAACUCGAGUGCAUGAAGCUGGAAUUACUAGUAAUCGUGGAUCAGCGUGCCACGGUGAAUGCGUUCCCGGGUCUUGUACACACCGCCCGUCACACCAUGGGAGUUGGUUCUACCUUAAGGCAAGGUUUAAUACCCUUGACCACGGUAUAGUCAGCGACUGGGGUGAAGUCGUAACAAGGUAGCCGUAGGGGAACCUGCGGCUGGAUUACCUCCUUU